RNAcentral lists this ribosomal RNA (272 nucleotides) under uncultured bacterium. RNAcentral's name for it is "partial 16S ribosomal RNA". It matches the Rfam family "Bacterial small subunit ribosomal RNA", at positions 524 to 794 of the family's 1533-position model. The record is from RNAcentral.
UACGGAGGGUGCAAGCGUUACUCGGAAUCACUGGGCGUAAAGGAUGCGUAGGCGGAUUAAUAAGUUGGGAGUGAAAUCCUAUGGCUCAACCAUAGAACUGCUUUCAAAACUGUUAGUCUAGAAUGUGGGAGAGGUAGAUGGAAUUAGUGGUGUAGGGGUAAAAUCCGUAGAGAUCACUAGGAAUACCGAUUGCGAAGGCGAUCUACUGGAACACAAUUGACGCUGAGGCAUGAAAAGCGUGGGGAGCAAACAGGAUUAGAUACCCGCGUAGU